CGCGUGCACUGGCUCGGCCGGGCCUUUCCUUCUGGAGAACCCGGUGCCCUUUAUUGGGUGUCGUGGGGAACCAGGACUUUUACUCUGAAUAAAUUAGAUCGCUUAAAGAAGGCUCUUGCUUGAAUAUUCUAGCAUGGAAUAAUAGAAUAGGACGUGUGGUUCUAUUUUGUUGGUUUCUAGGACCGCCGUAAUGAUUAAUAGGGACAGUCGGGGGCAUCAGUAUUCAAUUGUCAGAGGUGAAAUUCUUGGAUUUAUUGAAGACUAACUACUGCGAAAGCAUUUGCCAAGGAUGUUUUCAUUAAUCAGGAACGAAAGUUAGGGGAUCGAAGACGAUCAGAUACCGUCGUAGUCUUAACCAUAAACUAUGCCGAUUAGGGAUCGGACGGUGUUAUUUUUUGACCCGUUCGGCACCUUACGAUAAAUCAAAAUGUUUGGGCUCCUGGGGGGGUAUGGUCGCAAGGCUGAAACUUAAAGAAAUUGACGGAAGGGCACCACCAGGGGUGGAGCCUGCGGCUUAAUUUGACUCAACACGGGGAAACUCACCAGGUCCAGACAAAAUGAGGAUUGACAGAUUGAGAGCUCUUUCUUGAUUUUUUGGUUGGUGGUGCAUGGCUGUUCUUAGUUGGUGGAGUGAUUUGUCUGCUUAAUUGCGAUAACGAACGAGACCUUAACCUGCUAAAUAGCCCGUGCCGCUUUGGCGGCUCGCUGGCUUCUUAGAGGGACUAUCGG
Molecule: ribosomal RNA, 729 nt
Filed under: uncultured eukaryote
Lineage: Eukaryota
Description: SSU rRNA
Rfam family: Eukaryotic small subunit ribosomal RNA
Source: RNAcentral